RNAcentral lists this ribosomal RNA (266 nucleotides) under Nostoc sp. UCD121. RNAcentral describes it as "partial 23S ribosomal RNA". It matches the Rfam family "Bacterial large subunit ribosomal RNA", at positions 2197 to 2462 of the family's 2925-position model. The record is from RNAcentral. Lineage: Bacteria; Bacillati; Cyanobacteriota; Cyanophyceae; Nostocales; Nostocaceae.
AUACCACCCUUGCCUAUAUGGAUGUCUAACUGCGGCCCGUUAUCCGGGUCCAGGACCGUGUAUGGUGGGUAGUUUGACUGGGGCGGUCGCCUCCUAAAGAGUAACGGAGGCGCGCGAUGGUAGGCUCAGAACGGUCGGAAAUCGUUCGUCGAGUGCAAUGGCAUAAGCCUGCCUGACUGCAAGACUGACAAGUCGAGCAGAGACGAAAGUCGGUCAUAGUGAUCCGGUGGUCCCGCGUGGAGGGCCGUCGCUCAACGGAUAAAAGU